This 422-nucleotide long non-coding RNA is filed under the name Salvia miltiorrhiza (redroot sage). RNAcentral's name for it is "long non-coding RNA (SMIL_LNC004380)". Lineage: Eukaryota; Viridiplantae; Streptophyta; Magnoliopsida; Lamiales; Lamiaceae. The record is from RNAcentral.
CAAAUGCUCGACAUUAGAAUAACUCGAUACCAAAGUUUCUAAUACAGAACCAAUGAAAGAUUUAUUGUAGAUACACAACAAUCAUUCCAAUAAUUUUUUUCUACACCUAUCACCUGCCACAACACCCAAGAAAGGAAAAAGGAAAAAACUACACACUCCCCUAUAUUCCCUUCUCUCGAGCCCUGCACUUCUCACACUCCAGCCACUCUACAGCCACCCUACUCUGCAGCUAUGCACAUGGUACUCACAACAGCCAGCCUUCCUCCCUUUUUACCUCUCUUUGCAGCAAGCAAGAACUUCAUUCUCUUCCAUUUUGAAACAAGAAACACCAAGGAGCAGGAGAAACUGCCUUCGCCUUGCAUUCAUUGCUUUGCCCACAUUCAAGGUGAGAUCUUGUGUUUAAUUCAUCCACCCCCACCUUG